This 497-nucleotide ribosomal RNA is filed under the name uncultured bacterium. Its description in RNAcentral is "partial 16S ribosomal RNA". It matches the Rfam family "Bacterial small subunit ribosomal RNA", at positions 28 to 507 of the family's 1533-position model. The record is from RNAcentral.
GAUGAACGCUGGCGGCGUGCCUAAUACAUGCAAGUCGAGCGAACAGAUGAGGAGCUUGCUCCUCUGACGUUAGCGGCGGACGGGUGAGUAACACGUGGAUAACCUACCUAUAAGACUGGGAUAACUUCGGGAAACCGGAGCUAAUACCGGAUAAUAUAUUCAACCGCAUGGUUCAAUAGUGAAAGACGGUUUUGCUGUUACUUAUAGAUGGAUCCGCGCCGCAUUAGCUAGUUGGUAAGGUAACGGCUUACCAAGGCAACGAUGCGUAGCCGACCUGAGAGGGUGAUCAGCCACACUGGAACUGGGACACGGUCCAGACUCCUACGGGAGGCAGCAGUAGGGAAUCUUCCGCAAUGGGCGAAAGCCUGACGGAGCAACACCGCGUGAGUGAUGAAGGUCUUCGGAUCGUAAAACUCUGUUGUUAGGGAAGAACAGAUGUGUAAGUAACUAUGCACGUCUUGACGGUACCUAAUCAGAAAGCCACGGCUAACUACGUG